UAUGAUUACUUGCUGUUAAUCACUUUUGCUCAGUGCUUUGCCUAGAACUGAGAGAAACACACAGGCAGGCAUUUAAUGUUUGUGAUAACCAGAAGCCAAUGCAACAGUUUCCUGGAAAGGAGCGUUUUUGUGUGGGUAGAUAUUUGGAUUUAUAUACGCACAUUUACUGCUUAUAAAGCUGCCUGAAAGGAAGACAUGCAGAAACAUUCGCUAAGAUGGUGUAGCUUCAAAUUUUCCAGAAACUCUUCAGCAAGAACUCACAAAAAAGGUGAUUUUGCAUGACUAAAUAUGGGUGUUUGUAACAUACACUUUAAGGAUAUGAGAUAUAACAAGUAGGAUCAACCUCCAUAGAUUGGAGGGUUUUUAUCACGUUCCUGUAUUAGCCACCUACCUAUGAUCUGAUUAAUCAGAUCCUAAACGCAGUUGACCAUAUUAACCAGAUUUCCUCUGACUAUCAGAGAUUUGGAUGAUUAGCUCAGAUGCAGACACCUGCAUUGUGGACAAUUAAAGAUUAAUAAUCAGGAUUAAUAUUCAUUUCCUUUAUUUUCAAACUUAAACUGCCAAAGGAUCUAAGGAUCUUCUAGUUUUUUGUUUUGUUUUGUUUUGUUUUGGGGGGAGGGGGGACUGGUUUUUUGUUUUGUUUUGUUUUGUUUUCCUGCUGUACCACUGCUUGAAAGAGGACUUUCUUAAAUGCACUCUCACUAAGGCAUUCCUAGUUCAGCAUUAUACUCAUUUGGCCAUUCAAGACAGUGAAUGGGAAAGAUUACACAGGAGUUCAGUAAUUUACUCCUAAUGCAGAGGUUAAACACCCCUUCAGUCCAAAGGAAACCUCUAUUAAUGCUUUGAGAAAGGCCAUAAAGGGAACGUGAAAUGCAAUACAUACAAUUCAAAGAGAGCACAAUUCUGUUCCAUUACAAAUUAUACUGUUCUUUGGAUUUCUUUUGUCCUACAAAACAGACUACUUCUUACAAUCAAUCUGCAAUGCCUAUCUUCACUUACUGAAGCUAAAAUCAACCUUCAUGCUCAGCAAAAUGGGUAAAUUCUCAACACCACCUCUUAUGCAGCUGAUGGUUUGCCUUACCUCUGUAAAAAUGAAGUCUAUCUGGAAGACUGUGUUGCUAGUCCUCCUGCUUCAAAACCAGCAC
This 1145-nucleotide long non-coding RNA is filed under the name Anser cygnoides (Swan goose). RNAcentral's name for it is "lncRNA (ENSACDG00005001715.1)". The record is from RNAcentral. Lineage: Eukaryota; Metazoa; Chordata; Aves; Anseriformes; Anatidae.